RNAcentral lists this ribosomal RNA (1272 nucleotides) under Shigella sonnei. RNAcentral describes it as "partial 23S ribosomal RNA". It matches the Rfam family "Bacterial large subunit ribosomal RNA", at positions 612 to 1869 of the family's 2925-position model. The record is from RNAcentral. Lineage: Bacteria; Pseudomonadati; Pseudomonadota; Gammaproteobacteria; Enterobacterales; Enterobacteriaceae.
AUAAUGGGUCAGCGACUUAUAUUCUGUAGCAAGGUUAACCGAAUAGGGGAGCCGAAGGGAAACCGAGUCUUAACUGGGCGUUAAGUUGCAGGGUAUAGACCCGAAACCCGGUGAUCUAGCCAUGGGCAGGUUGAAGGUUGGGUAACACUAACUGGAGGACCGAACCGACUAAUGUUGAAAAAUUAGCGGAUGACUUGUGGCUGGGGGUGAAAGGCCAAUCAAACCGGGAGAUAGCUGGUUCUCCCCGAAAGCUAUUUAGGUAGCGCCUCGUGAAUUCAUCUCCGGGGGUAGAGCACUGUUUCGGCAAGGGGGUCAUCCCGACUUACCAACCCGAUGCAAACUGCGAAUACCGGAGAAUGUUAUCACGGGAGACACACGGCGGGUGCUAACGUCCGUCGUGAAGAGGGAAACAACCCAGACCGCCAGCUAAGGUCCCAAAGUCAUGGUUAAGUGGGAAACGAUGUGGGAAGGCCCAGACAGCCAGGAUGUUGGCUUAGAAGCAGCCAUCAUUUAAAGAAAGCGUAAUAGCUCACUGGUCGAGUCGGCCUGCGCGGAAGAUGUAACGGGGCUAAACCAUGCACCGAAGCUGCGGCAGCGACGCUUAUGCGUUGUUGGGUAGGGGAGCGUUCUGUAAGCCUGUGAAGGUGUGCUGUGAGGCAUGCUGGAGGUAUCAGAAGUGCGAAUGCUGACAUAAGUAACGAUAAAGCGGGUGAAAAGCCCGCUCGCCGGAAGACCAAGGGUUCCUGUCCAACGUUAAUCGGGGCAGGGUGAGUCGACCCCUAAGGCGAGGCCGAAAGGCGUAGUCGAUGGGAAACAGGUUAAUAUUCCUGUACUUGGUGUUACUGCGAAGGGGGGACGGAGAAGGCUAUGUUGGCCGGGCGACGGUUGUCCCGGUUUAAGCGUGUAGGCUGGUUUUCCAGGCAAAUCCGGAAAACUAAGGCUGAGGCGUGAUGACGAGGCACUACGGUGCUGAAGCAACAAAUGCCCUGCUUCCAGGAAAAGCCUCUAAGCAUCAGGUAACAUCAAAUCGUACCCCAAACCGACACAGGUGGUCAGGUAGAGAAUACCAAGGCGCUUGAGAGAACUCGGGUGAAGGAACUAGGCAAAAUGGUGCCGUAACUUCGGGAGAAGGCACGCUGAUAUGUAGGUGAAGUCCCUCGCGGAUGGAGCUGAAAUCAGUCGAAGAUACCAGCUGGCUGCAACUGUUUAUUAAAAACACAGCACUGUGCAAACACGAAAGUGGACGUAUACGGUGUGACGCCUGCCCGGUGC